GAGUGAACGCUGGCGGUAGGCCUAACACCUGCACGUCGAACGGCAGCACAGUAAGAGCUUGCUCUUACGGGUGGCGAGUGGCGGACGGGUGAGGAAUACAUCGGAAUCUACUUUUUCGUGGGGGAUAACGUAGGGAAACUUACGCUAAUACCGCAUACGACCUACGGGUGAAAGCAGGGGAUCUUCGGACCUUGCGCGAUUGAAUGAGCCGAUGUCGGAUUAGCUAGUUGGCGGGGUAAAGGCCCACCAAGGCGACGAUCCGUAGCUGGUCUGAGAGGAUGAUCAGCCACACUGGAACUGAGACACGGUCCAGACUCCUACGGGAGGCAGCAGUGGGGAAUAUUGGACAAUGGGCGCAAGCCUGAUCCAGCCAUACCGCGUGGGUGAAGAAGGCCUUCGGGUUGUAAAGCCCUUUUGUUGGGAAAGAAAAGCAGCAGGUUAAUACCCCGCUGUUCUGACGGUACCCAAAGAAUAAGCACCGGCUAACUUCGUG
Molecule: ribosomal RNA, 493 nt
Filed under: uncultured bacterium
Lineage: Bacteria
Description: partial 16S ribosomal RNA
Rfam family: Bacterial small subunit ribosomal RNA
Source: RNAcentral